AGUGAACGCUGGCGGUAGGCCUAACACAUGCAAGUCGAACGGCAGCACAGUAAGAGCUUGCUCUUACGGGUGGCGAGUGGCGGACGGGUGAGGAAUACAUCGGAAUCUACUUUUUCGUGGGGGAUAACGUAGGGAAACUUACGCUAAUACCGCAUACGACCUACGGGUGAAAGCAGGGGAGCUUCGGACCUUUCGCGAUUGAAUGAGCCGAUGUCGGAUUAGCUAGUUGGCGGGGUAAAGGCCCACCAAGGCGACGAUCCGUAGCUGGUCUGAGAGGAUGAUCAGCCACACUGGAACUGAGACACGGUCCAGACUCCUACGGGAGGCAGCAGUGGGGAAUAUUGGGCAAGGGGCGCAAGCCUGAUCCAGCCAUACCGCGUGGGUGAAGAAGGCCUUCGGGUUGUAAAGCCCUUUUGUUGGGAAAGAAAAGCAGCAGGUUAAUACCCCGCUGUUCUGACGGUACCCAAAGAAUAAGCACCGGCUAACUUCGUG
Molecule: ribosomal RNA, 492 nt
Filed under: uncultured bacterium
Lineage: Bacteria
Description: partial 16S ribosomal RNA
Rfam family: Bacterial small subunit ribosomal RNA
Source: RNAcentral